Molecule: long non-coding RNA, 1140 nt
Filed under: Anolis carolinensis (green anole)
Lineage: Eukaryota; Metazoa; Chordata; Lepidosauria; Squamata; Anolidae
Description: lncRNA (ENSACAG00000041300.1)
Source: RNAcentral
CUCGUCUUGCUCUUUUUUGGGGUCGUUUUUGGGGACGCUGUUUUUUCCAGGCGGCCCUCGAAUGGCCUCCCGACCUCCAAGGACAAGGAGAACACACACAGGAAGAGGAAACUCUUCCUUUUUGUCACCACGCGACUCCCCACUUAGCAGUUUUUAUAAGCCAUUGAGGGACGAAACAGUGGGCGGGGAUAGAAGGUUAUUAUUAUAAUUUGGUAGGAUGUCGGAACAAGUGGAAGAGCUCUAAACGAAUAGAAGGGUAUUAUAAUAAUAAUUUGGUAGGAUGUCGGAACAAGAGGAAGAGCUCUAACGGAUAGGAAGUUAUUAUAUAAAUAAAUUGGAAGGAUGGUCGGGACAAGAGGAGAGCUCAAGGUUUAUAUAAAUAAUAAUUUGGUAAGGAUGUCCGGAACAGGCGGAAAAGCUCCUAACGGGAUAGAAGGUUAUUAUAAUAAUUUGAUAGGAUGUCGGAACAAGCGGAAGAGCUCUAACGGAUAGAAGGUUAUUAUAAUAAUAAUUUGGUAGGAUGUCGGAACAAGAGGAAGAGCUCUAAGGUUAUUAUAAUAAUUUGGUAGGAUGUCGGAACAAGAGGAAGAGCUCUAACGGAUAGAAGGUUAUUAUAAUAAUAAUGUGGUAGGAUGUCGGAACAAGAGGAAGAGCUCUAAUGGAUAGAAGGUUAUUAUAAUAAUAAUUUGGUAGGAUGUCGGAACAAGAGGAAGAGCUCUAAGGUUAUUAUUAUAAUAAUUUGGUAGGAUGUCGGAACAAGCGGAAGAGCUCUAAGGUUAUUAUAAUAAUCUGGUAGGAUGUCGGAACAAGAGGAAGAGCUCUAAGGUUAUAAUAAUAAUAAUAAUUUGGUAGGAUGUCGGAACAAGCAGAAGAGCUCUAACGGAUAGAAGGUUAUUAUAAUAAUAAUUUGGUAGGAUGUCGGAACAAGCGGAAGAGCUCUAAGGUUAUUAUAAUAAUAAUUUGGUAGGAUGUCGGAACAAGAGGAAGAGCUCUAACUGAUAGAAGGUUAUUAUAAUAAUAAUUUGUUAGGAUGUCGGAACAAGCGGAAGAGCUCUAACCACCGACCUGUCACUCACCCUUUCCUUUCCUUUGAAGUGCAAUAACUUUUUGUCGCGUGUUUUGGGGGAGACGCGGACGUGU